Molecule: long non-coding RNA, 182 nt
Organism: Sphaeramia orbicularis (orbiculate cardinalfish)
Lineage: Eukaryota; Metazoa; Chordata; Actinopteri; Kurtiformes; Apogonidae
Exons: 2
Source: RefSeq, a predicted model, not a curated record
UAUAUAUAUAUAUAUAUAUAUAUAUAUAUAUAUAUAUAUAUAUCCUAUUUAUUGAUUGUGUCACACUGUGUUUCUGGUACAUUUUUUUUAAAAAGCUGCACAGACUCUGAAAGCAUGCUUUAACAGCUUCUGUAUUGUUGAUCAGCUCCACUCAAGAUAAAUAAAAAAUGUUUAUUGUUUCA